UCAGCGGAUGGAGCUCCAGUGGCGCAAUCGGUUAGCGCGCGGUACUUAUACAGCAGUACAUUGCAGAGCCAUGCCGAGGUUGUGAGUUCGAGCCUCACCUGGAGCAGAUAUUUUGGAAUUGUACACGUACAUAAGAGUGUUGUGAAUAACUAGAAAUGAUUACUAGGCUAUAACAACAAUAUUACGGACAUAUUUCUGGUGAAAAAGAAAGAUGGCACUACAACAUAAUUGGAGGAAAAGGCUUUCACAUCUUAAUUUUUCCCCAACUGAUGGCAGUAUUGUACAAGGAAGAUUGAUGAUGAAGCGGUUACAUCUCUGAAUGUGAUGUCACCUCACUUGGCAUGACAAACAGCAGGCCAGUGAUCUGAGGUCCAAUGCUGUCAAAAGUAUGCUUUGUUUCUAACCAUAUUUAAGGUCAUGAACAUUAAAAAAAAAUCUGC
Molecule: long non-coding RNA, 440 nt
Organism: Electrophorus electricus (electric eel)
Lineage: Eukaryota; Metazoa; Chordata; Actinopteri; Gymnotiformes; Gymnotidae
Source: RefSeq, a predicted model, not a curated record